UCUUCCCUUCUUAUUUUACAACAUCAGUUUUACACCUUAAAUUCCAUCUACAUUAAAUUUUUACCACGGUGUCAUUAGGGUCGACACCUCUUUCCCAGAAGAGGGUUUUUCGGACGGUUUAAAGGCAGAAAUGCAGGUCAUUUCAUACAAACGAAUUUCAAAAAAUAAAAAACGGCAUUAUAACCUCGAUCUGGGUUAUUGAC
Molecule: non-coding RNA, 203 nt
Organism: Cinara cedri
Lineage: Eukaryota; Metazoa; Arthropoda; Insecta; Hemiptera; Aphididae
Source: the annotation of a GenBank genome assembly